GUUGGUGUUGAUGACGGCGAGGGUCCACCCGUUCCCAUUCCGAACACGGAAGUUAAGCUCGCACGUGCUGACGAUACUUGGCUGGCGACGGCCCGGGACAAUAGGAGGAUGCCAACA
This 117-nucleotide ribosomal RNA is filed under the name Clostridiales bacterium. Lineage: Bacteria; Bacillati; Bacillota; Clostridia; Eubacteriales. RNAcentral also lists the same sequence under 1 other name. The record is from RNAcentral.